Molecule: ribosomal RNA, 856 nt
Filed under: uncultured bacterium
Lineage: Bacteria
Description: SSU rRNA
Rfam family: Bacterial small subunit ribosomal RNA
Source: RNAcentral
UACGAAGGGACCUAGCGUAGUUCGGAAUUACUGGGCUUAAAGAGUUCGUAGGUGGUUGAAAAAGUUAGUGGUGAAAUCCCAGAGCUUAACUCUGGAACUGCCAUUAAAACUUUUCAGCUAGAGUAUGAUAGAGGAAAGCAGAAUUUCUAGUGUAGAGGUGAAAUUCGUAGAUAUUAGAAAGAAUACCAAUUGCGAAGGCAGCUUUCUGGAUCAUUACUGACACUGAGGAACGAAAGCAUGGGUAGCGAAGAGGAUUAGAUACCCUCGUAGUCCAUGCCGUAAACGAUGUGUGUUAGACGUUGGAAAUUUAUUUUCAGUGUCGCAGGGAAACCGAUAAACACACCGCCUGGGGAGUACGACCGCAAGGUUAAAACUCAAAUGAAUUGACGGGGACCCGCACAAGUAGUGGAGCACGUGGUUUAAUUCGAAGAUACGCGCAGAACCUUACCAACACUUGACAUGUUCGUCGCGACUCUAAGAGAUUAGAGUUUUCGGUUCGGCCGGACGAAACACAGGUGCUGCAUGGCUGUCGUCAGCUCGUGUCGUGAGAUGUUGGGUUAAGUCCCGCAACGAGCGCAACCCUCACUUUUAGUUGCCAUCAUUAAGUUGGGCACUCUGAAAGAACUGCCAGUGAUAAGCUGGAGGAAGGUGGGGAUGACGUCAAGUCCUCAUGGCCCUUACGUGUUGGGCUACACACGUGCUACAAUGGUAUCUACAACAGGAAGCAAGACUGCGAAGUUUAGCAAAUCCCUAAAAGAUACCUCAGUUCGGAUUGCACUCUGCAACUCGAGUGCAUGAAGCUGGAAUUACUAGUAAUCGUGGAUCAGCGUGCCACGGUGAAUGCGUUCCCGGGUCU